RNAcentral lists this transfer RNA (66 nucleotides) under Typhlocybinae gen. 1 sp. 1 BY-2021a. RNAcentral's name for it is "tRNA-Tyr". Lineage: Eukaryota; Metazoa; Arthropoda; Insecta; Hemiptera; Cicadellidae. The record is from RNAcentral.
AUUGGAAUGUCUGAAUAAUAGGUGAUAAAUUGUAAAUUUAUUUAUGAAUUGAUANUUCUUCCAGUA